CUCCAUUUUGUUGGGGUAGUCUAAUAUUUUAAACUGGCAGAGGACAAAGCAAAGCCACUAAAAAUGUACACAAAGUGAUAGCUACAAUUUGAUGGGCAGGCAGUUUGUGCACAGCACUACACAUGAACUGAAACCAGAUUGAUGAGGGAAGCAUUUGGGACCUGACAGAGGAACUGCUGUGCGACUAUGCCUUCCUGCUCCUUACCUGCUGUGUUGCUGCUCAGCUAAUGCCACAUAAAAGCUGAACUCUGAUCUCCACCCAUCGCGGGGGUCACAUGACCGUGAGAUACUUUUACCUGGAAGGACGGUACUUCUCCAUUCCCAGGAGAUAGGGCUUUCCAUGGUGAAGGCACACUAGCAUUCAAAGAGAAGCGGUAGAGGGUGAUGGCUGCACCUACAUCCAGCUUGGACACAUACACUUGCUGCAGUACCCGCUGUAGGCCUGCACUGACCACUCCAGUUCCACCCUGCCCAGAGAGAGGAGGAGGUGUCUCCACUGCCAGAGCCAGCAAGGGGGCAUCAUUAUCAGGACUACAAGAACCUGAGAGGAAAAGACAGAAUGA
Conger conger (European conger) is the source of this 563-nucleotide long non-coding RNA. RefSeq lists it as uncharacterized. The transcript has 4 exons. The record is from RefSeq and is a predicted model, not a curated record. Lineage: Eukaryota; Metazoa; Chordata; Actinopteri; Anguilliformes; Congridae.